This 333-nucleotide long non-coding RNA is filed under the name Gossypium barbadense (sea-island cotton). RNAcentral's name for it is "long non-coding RNA (GBAR_LNC005924)". Lineage: Eukaryota; Viridiplantae; Streptophyta; Magnoliopsida; Malvales; Malvaceae. The record is from RNAcentral.
UAGUAUAAUUUGGUAUCAAAUUGAUUGAAAUGAAUUGGUUGGUUGGAUUGGUCUUGGUUUUAAAAUUUGCAGGGAAGGUUAGAUAUUUAUAAAGGGGUUAUAUUGAGCAAAAAAAAAACUUUGGGAUUUUGCGAAAAAUUCCCUAUGGUUUCGAUUUAAUUCUAGUUUGGUCUCGAAGUAUGUUUUGGGCUUUGGAGGCCCAUCUAAAGGACGCCAUGACAUGUUUUAGUAAAUGAAUAGUAUUUAACUCGUAUUAAUGGAAAAUUAAUUCGGUAAACUCCGGUAAUGCCUCCUACCCUAUUCCGGCGACGAAUACGGGUAAGGGGUGUUACA